CACCUGCUGCUGCUGCUGUUGCUGAGGAGAUAAUAAAGUUCGACUCUGGUUCAAGAGGCCCAUCUGGUGCUGUUGCUGCUGCUGCUGCUGCAGCUGCUGUUGUUGCUGUUGUAACUGCUGCUGUUGCUGAAGUUGUUGUUGCUGCUGCUGCUGCUGCUGCUGCUGAAGCUGUUGCUGCUGUUG
This 183-nucleotide small RNA is filed under the name Marmota monax (woodchuck). The record is from RNAcentral. Lineage: Eukaryota; Metazoa; Chordata; Mammalia; Rodentia; Sciuridae.